This 367-nucleotide small RNA is filed under the name Drosophila erecta. Its description in RNAcentral is "GG26602". Lineage: Eukaryota; Metazoa; Arthropoda; Insecta; Diptera; Drosophilidae. The record is from RNAcentral.
GCGUAAAAAAGGAAAAAAAACCAUUCAAAUAAUUAAGACUGCUACACGGAACAACUAAAAACUACAAGCUAAUUUAACCAGGAGAAAAGAACGGAAGACUAGACAUAAUCAUAAACAGAGUAGAUAGAAUUAGAGAACCCGCAAACCCAAACAACUAGAAAACUAAAAACAUUAAUUCUAAAACCCACAUACACACAUCCACACACACAAGCGAAACAAAGGAAUGAAUUUGUAAUACAACACCAAGAAAGAAUCACCUUUAGCCUUAUAUACAAUUAAAUACAAUUUAGACGCUAGAAAGACAAGACAGAGCAAGAAUCCUAUCAAGAAAACCGAAACAUAACAAGAAAUAUUUGAUGGGCAGUGU